CCUACGGGUAGCAGUAGUGAGGAAUAUUGGUCAAUGGACGAGAGUCUGAACCAGCCAAGUAGCGUGAAGGAUGACUGCCCUAUGGGUUGUAAACUUCUUUUAUAUGGGAAUAAAACGUUCCACGUGUGGGAUUUUGUAUGUACCAUAUGAAUAAGGAUCGGCUAACUCCGUGCCAGCAGCCGCGGUAAUACGGAGGAUCCGCGCGUUAUCCGGAUUUAUUGGGUUUAAAGGGAGCGUAGGUGGAUUGUUAAGUCAGUUGUGAAAGUUUGCGGCUCAACCGUAAAAUUGCAGUUGAAACUGGCAGUCUUGAGUACAGUAGAGGUGGGCGGAAGUCGUGGUGUAGCGGUGAAAUGCUUAGAUAUCACGAAGAACUCCGAUUGCGAAGGCAGUUCACUGGACUGCAACUGACACUGAGGCUCGAAAGUGUGGGUAUCAAACAGGAUUAGAUACCCUAGUAGUC
This 460-nucleotide ribosomal RNA is filed under the name uncultured bacterium. Its description in RNAcentral is "partial 16S ribosomal RNA". It matches the Rfam family "Bacterial small subunit ribosomal RNA", at positions 338 to 795 of the family's 1533-position model. The record is from RNAcentral.